This is a long non-coding RNA of Lacerta agilis (Sand lizard), 336 nucleotides long. RefSeq lists it as uncharacterized. The record is from RefSeq and is a predicted model, not a curated record. NCBI's taxonomy places the organism in Eukaryota, Metazoa, Chordata, Lepidosauria, Squamata, Lacertidae. The transcript has 2 exons.
UAGAAGAGAACCCCACUGUCUUUGCAGAACUCUCAAAACGAAUCCCUAAGCUACUUUUUGAGCUCGAGAGAGUUUAAACAGAAGAUUGGAUAUUCAGCGUAGGAACCUUUCGGAAAUGAAAUUCUGGGGGAAGUUGGAUACAUGCAUUAAAGGCAUAAAAAUCUGGAUCAAAAGCCUUGCCAAAAGAAAAAGGAAAAAAGAAAAGUUCCCAUUAUCGUAUCAGCCAAAGACUACAGAAAUUAUUCCAGGCGGAACUGGUCCACGAGCGAAUGCUUCUUUGAUAAACUUCCAGUUUAUUUUACCAAAGGAUACGAAAUUGUUAAAUGGUGAACAUGA